UUCAGGGGAGACAGGAGGGGUACACCUAGAGGUCUGAUAUCAGCCCUUCAGGCUCGCAGGUUGCUUAGGAGGGGAUGUCAGGGGUAUUUGGCUCAUGUGAGAGAGCUUAGCAGUCAGGUUAGAGAGCCCGCCUCGGUGCCGGUGGUCAGAGAGUUUUUGGAUGUGUUCCCAGACGAGCUGCCAGGUUUACCACCUGCUAGGGAGAUAGAGUUCGAGAUAGAACUGAUGCCUGGAACCCGACCGAUCUCUAUCCCUCCUUACAGGAUGGCGCCAGCAGAAUUGAAAGAGUUGAAGGAGCAGUUACAGGAGCUGGUAGACAAGGGCUUCAUCCGACUGAGUACCUCACCCUGGGGUGCUCCAGUUUUGUUUGUGAGAAAGAAGGAUGGAUCCCUCAGACUUUGUAUCGACUACAGGCAGUUGAACAACGUCACUACCAAGAACAGGUACCAUUUGCCAAGGAUCGAUGAUCUAUUCGACCAACUAGCAGGAGUGGAUUGUUUCUCUAAAAUAGAUCUGAGGUCCGGGUAUCAUCAGCUGAGGAUCAGAGAGGAAGAUGUGCGAAAGACAGCUUUCAGGACCAGAUAUGGGCAUUUUGAGUUCCUUGUGAUGCCGUUCAGGUUAACCAACGCCCCUGCAGCAUUCAUGGAUCUCAUGAACAGAGUGUUUAGCCAGUACCUGGAUCACUUCGUUAUUGUUUUCAUAGAUGAUAUCUUGGUGUAUUCCAGGAAUGCAGAGGAGCAUGCCCAUCAUUUGAGGUUGGUUCUACAGACCUUGAGGGAGCAUGGCUUGUAUGCCAAGUUCUCCAAGUGUGAGUUCUGGCUGAGGAGCAUUUCAUUCAUAGGGCAUGUGGUGUCAGAAAAUGGAAUAUAGGUAGACCCCAAAAAGGUAGAAGCUGUGGCUAACUGGCCUAGACCCACUUCAGUGUCAGAGAUUAGAAGUUUCUUGGGUUUGGCAGGUUACUACAGGAGGUUCGUUCAGGACUUCUCAAAAAUUGCAGCUCCUCUGACCAGGUUAACCAGGAAGAAUCAGAAGAUUGUGUGGACUGACCAGUGCGAAGAGAGUUUUGAAGAGCUUAAGAAGAGGUUAACGUCAGCACCAGUGUUAGCUCUGCCAGCUAGCAAUGAGGACUUCACAGUGUUCUGUGAUGCAUCCCGAGUGGGUAUGGGUUGUGUGCUAAUGCAGAAUGAAAGGGUGAUUGCUUAUGCUUCUAGGCAGCUAAAGAAGCAUGAGUUGAAUUACCCCACACAUGACCUAGAAAUGGCAGUCGUUAUCUUUGCACUCAAGAUGUGGAGGCAUUACCUUUACGGUGUUAAAUGUGAGAUCUUCACAGAUCAUAAAAGCCUACAGUACAUCCUGAGUCAAAGAGAUUUGAACUUGAGACAGAGAAGAUGGGUAGAACUGCUGAGUGAUUAUGAUUGCAAGAUUCAAUACCAUCCGGGUAAGGCGAAUGUUGUGGCAGACGCCCUAAGCCGGAAGUCACUAGGCAGUUUAUCCCACAUCACGGCGGAGAGGAGACCAGUGGUGAAGGAGUUUUACAAGCUCAUUGAUGAAGGUCUAUAGUUGGAGUUGUCUGGUACAGGUGCUUUAGUUGCUCAGAUGAGAGUGGCACCCGUGUUUCUGGAGCAGGUGGCUCAGAAACAGCAUGAGGACCCAGAGUUAGUGAAGAUUACCAGGACUGUUCAGUCAGGCAAAGAUAGUGAGUUCAGAUUCGACAACAAGGGGAUCCUUCGCUAUGGGAGUCGUUUGUGUGUACCAGAUGACGUAGGGCUAAAAGGAGACAUUAUGAGAGAGGCUCAUAAUGCAAGAUACAACAUUCACCCCGGAGCCACCAAGAUGUAUCAAGAUCUGAAGAAGGUUUAUUGGUGGCCAGCUAUGAAGAGAGAGGUGGCACAGUUUGUGUCAGCCUGCGAAGUGUGUCAAAGGGUGAAGCUGGAACAUCAGAAGCCGGCUAGAAUGCUUAACCCGCUACCUAUUCCAGAGUGGAAAUGGGAGAAUAUAGCUAUGGACUUCGUAGUGGGGUUACCGGCGACGUCCAACAGAUUGGACUCCAUAUGGGUGAUUGUGGACAGACUCACCAAAUCUGCUCACUUCAUCCCUGUCAGGAGUGGCUAUUCUGUGGACAAAUUGGCACAGGUGUAUGUUGAUGAGAUUGUCAGGCUGCAUGGGGUUCCUGUUUCUAUAGUGUCUGAUAGAGGACCCCAGUUCACCUCCAGGUUUUGGCGGAGUCUGCAGGAUGCCAUGGGUACCAGGUUGGAUUUUAGUACUGCUUUCCAUCCACAGACGGACGGACAGUCGGAGAGGACCAUCCAGACAAUAGAGGAUAUGCUUAGAAUGUGUGUGCUGGACUUUGGCGGUUCUUGGAGGCAGCAUCUGCCUUUGGUGGAGUUUGCCUACAAUAACAGCCAUCAUGCCAGCAUCGGGAUGGCUCCAUAUGAAGCUUUGUAUGGGAGGAAGUGCAGAUCACCUGUUUGCUGGGAAGAAGUUGGAGAAAAGGCCUUGGCAGGGCCUGAGCUAGUAGAAAUCACCAGCAGGGUGGUACCCUUAAUCAGAGGAAGAAUCAAGACUGCUGCAAGCAGACAGAAGAGUUAUGCAGAUAUCCGCAGAAGGCAAGUAGAGUUUCAGGAGGGGGAUCUGGUAUUGCUCAAGGUGUCUCCUAUGAAAGGAGUGGUUCGGUUCGGGAAGAAAGGUAAGCUGGCUCCACGGUACAUCGGACCCUUUGAAGUCUUGCAAAAGAUUGGGAAUGUAUCGUACAAGCUGGAUUUACCUGCUUCAAUGGAAAGAAUCCAUCCGGUUUUCCAUGUUUCUAUGUUGAGAAAGUUCGUGUCAGAUCUGGGCAAGGUUCUUAGUGAGCCUGAUGUGGAGAUCCAAGAGGAUCUCACCUAUGUUGAACAGCCGGUACAGAUUCUGGACACUCAAAUCAGGAAGUUGAGGAACAAGGAAAUCCCGAUGGUGAAAGUCCUUUGGAACCACCACAAUCUGGAAGAAUGCACCUGGGAGACACGGGAGUCCAUGCUCCAGCAAUACCCUUAUCUUUUCUAAGGUUAGUUUCUUAUAUGUUUCAUGUGUUUUAUGUGUAUGAUAUGUUGUAUGCCUUGCAUGUGCUAGUUGAGGAACAUUCGGGGACGAAUGUUCUUAAGGGGGGAGAAUGUAAUACCCGGCUAGACUCCGGUAUCGGAAUUCCUACCGUCCGGUGGAAUCUCAGGUGUCGGAGACCUCUAGAAGGGUAAAACCAUGUUUUUAUAAAAUGUUUUAAUGUGUUUUAUAUUUUAAGCAUGAAAGAAAAUGAGUUUUUGCAUGAAAACAACCUUGGAGGAAAACUCAGGUUCGGCCGCCGAACAUGCAUGCGUUUCGGGUGUGCCUUAGGCCAGCGAAAGUAUAAGUGAGGGAAACCAGGUUCGGCCGCCGAACCUUAUGUUCGGCCGCCGAACAUGGCAUGCAUGCGGAGGCACUUUCGGCUCCCGAACGUGGCCUGGCCAGCCACCUAUAAAGGGGUCCCUUAGCCGAAAACGGGCGAGCUUUUCUCCCCAUUUUCGGCCAAGGUGAGCUCUCCGCCAUCCCUCACCAAUCUUGAGUUUCUUCCUUCAAAUAUUUCAAGAUUUUCAUUAGUUUUACUCUUUUUUUGAAGAUUUUGAACUUUUGAGCAAGUUUUGGAGCUUGGAGGUUCAAGGAACUCUCUCUCUCCCAUUUUUCAAGCUAGGGUCAUUCUCCUCUCGAUCUUCAAGAGGUAAGGGCCGAUCUUGAGCUUAUUGCAUGUUUUAAGUAAGUUUUAAGUAGAUCUAUGGGGUAGAAACGCAUGUUAGGUUAUUGUUAUGUUUAUGGGUAUAUGUUGUGUUUAUGAUCAAUGUGGAUGUUUGAUGUGUUGUAGAUGGGGUUUAAGAUGGUUUGAAGCCCCUAGGAACUUGUAUGCUUGAGUAUGUAUGUUGUAGAUUAGGGAAAAUGCAUGUUUGGAAGGUUGGGAGGCAUUUGUGCAUGAGGAGCUGAAGUUUCUGCCCUUUGGCAGAAACCAGGUUCGGCAGCCGAAGGACUUUCGGCCGCCGAACAUGACUGGGAGGCAAGCCUUUCGGCUGCCGAAGCCUACCCCCAAAAAGAGACUUUCGUCUCUGGAGGGCAAUUUCGGCCGCCGAAGGUGCCGCCGAACCUGCCUAACUUUCGGCUCUGGAGGGACUUUCGGCCGCCGAAGGUGCCGCCGAAAGUGCCUGUGCAGCCCCCCUUUGCAUGUUUUUCCAUGAUGUUUUGAGGUGUUUUAAGGGGGUUUUUGGGGAAUAUUUUAGAGUCAUGUUCUAGUAUGUUUGGUCCUUCAUUUGAGUCCACCUGUGUAGGUUCGGACCCGAGGAACCGAGGACCCCAGCAGUGAGUUCAGCUGCUUCGGUGUUGUCAGAGUCAGCCAGAGGUGAGUGGAACUAAACUUAAUCUUUUAAAUUGAGAAAUUAAAUGUUUAUCAUGUUUCAUGCAUCAUGAGUAUGCAAUAGGAUGAUUGCAUUAGAUUUCACGAAUAUGUUGCAUUGCAUUCUUUAUUGUUGAUGUGGGUGAAUGUUGGAUGACCCAAUUAGUCCCUGAGGGAAGACCAGGACCCCAUUCUACGGCCUGGCACGGAAAUGAAAGACCAGGACCCCAUUCUACCGCCUGGCACGGAUAUGGGACUCGAAGACCAGGAGCCCAGAGGAGGCCCUGGGGCAAUGGUAAGUAAUGUAUGAUAUGACAGGAAGACCAGGACCCCAUGCUACGGCCUGGCACAAAUGAUGCUGGGACUAUUUGGUGACAAGUUCACCCAACCCUUAUGUGAAUUGUCUGUGUUAUGAUGCAUUUCAUUGGAGCAUGUUUGUUAAUAUGUUUUUAUGGUUCUACUCACUGGGCUUUUUAGCUCACCCCUCUCCCUUUAACCCCCAGGCUUGCAGGUACAGGAUAGAGCAGGAAGUCGGAUAGAGUAAAGUCAUGGUUAUGUAAUAGCUAGAAGUGGACAUGAUUAAAUUGUAAUGUAAUGUCUUAUACAGUUAUGAUAUGUGAGGAUGAUGUAUUGAGGAUUAGAAAUUGUGCUUGACCGAGUUUGUGUAGUAAUCCCUUUUGAUACAUGAUCUAUAGAAUGUUUUAUGAUGUUUAUGUUCAACAAAGCUUACUUCAUGUAUGUUAUGAUACCCCAUUGGAGUAUUGGAUGAGGGCUCCAGUGUGUGGUUUACGUUAUGUUAUGAGUAUGCACAGGUUGAGCUUGGUUUAUGGAAAGGAAAAGUUUAAAGGUUUAUGAGUAUGUAUGAUCAUGUAUGGGAUUUGAUAGGUUCACAGGUUACAUGUCAGGCUUGCUACGGGUCCCGGCGGCCUUAAGCCGAUCUGGAUCCUAGCGCCGGUAGCAGUCCGAUUUUCGGGUCGUUACAGAACCUGACUGUGGAGGCCAGCCUUUGGCUGCCGAACUCUGCCCCCGAAAGUGGACUUUCGGCUCUGGAAGGGAGUUUCGGCCGCUGAAGGUGCCGCCGAACAUGCAUGAGUUUCGUCUCUGGAAGGAACCUUCGGCCGCCGAAAGUGCCGCCGAAGGUGCAUGACUUUCUUCUCUGGAGGGACUUUCGACCGCCAAACCUGCCGCCGAAAGUGCCCUGUUCAGCCUUCCUUUGCAUGAUUUCUAUGAUUGUUUUAAGGUGUUUUAGGGGAUUUUUGGGGAGUAUUUUAGAGUCAUGUUCAUGUAUGUUUGGUCCCUCAUUUGAGUCCACCUGUGUAGGUUCAGACCCGAGGAACCAAGGACCGCAGCAGUGAGACAGCUGCUUCAGUGUCUUGUCAGAGCUAGCAUGAGGUGAGUGGAAUAACUCUUUAUGUUGCAAAGUAAAUAAAUCAGAUUUUGAGCAUGUUCAUGCAUCACGAAUGCCAUAAGAUAAAUUAGGUUGUUUGCAUUAGAAUUCACGAAUAUGUUGCAUUGCAUAAUAUGUUGAUGAUGUGGAUGAGUAUUGGAUGAUCCUUUAGUCCUCGUAUGAUAUGAGAUGAUGAUGACAUGAUGUGAUAUGGUAUGGUAUGGAAGUCCAGGUCGAGGCCCAUUCUACGCCCCUGGCACUAUGUUAAGAGAAAGACCAGAUCGAGGCCCAUUCUACGCCCCUGGCAUUAUAGGAAUGUUAUGUUAUGUAUGUUAUGUUAAGAGAAAGACCAGGACGAGGCCCAUUCUAUGCCCCUGGCACUAUUGGAUAUGUAAAGGACUAUUGGGGACAAAACAAUCCUUGAUGUGAUUUGUCUGUGAUGUGAUGCAUUCCAUGAUAGCAUGUGUUUUAAAUGUUUUAUUAUUCUGCUCACUGAACUCUAGUAGCUCACCCCAUUUCCCUAAUCCCCCAGGUAUGCAGGUACGGGAUAGGCCAGGAGGUCAAGAAGAGUAAAGUUAUGUUUUAUGUAAUAGUUAGCUGUGGACAUGAGGAUGAUGUAAUGUAUAGUAAUGUAAUGUAUUGACGAGUAUUGAGGUUUAGAGAUGUGCUUGACCCUAGUAUGUUGUUAAUCCCCUUUUGAAAGGUCAUGUAACAAAAGGGAUUAACAUACAUACUAGGGUCAAGCACAACUCUAAUCCUCAAUAACAUCAUUAUAUUACAUAACUGAUCAAUACUAUACUUUACAUUACAUCAUUCUCAUGUCCUCUUCUAACUAUUACAUAGACAUGACUUUACUCUAGCUGACCUCCUGGUCUAUCCCGUACCUGCAAACCUGGGGAAAUUAGGGAGUGGGGUGAGCUACUAGAGCCCAGUGAGCAGAAUAAUAAAACAUUAUAUUUAAAACUUAUGAUAUCAUGAAAUGCAUCACAGCACAAACAAAUCACAUCAAGGAUGAACUUGUCACCAUUUAGCCCUCCAUACAGUCUAAUCAUGCCAGGGGCGUAGUGCAGGCAUGCCUGGACUUCCAUAUCAUAACAUACAUAUCCAAUCGUGCCGGGGGCGUAGUGCAGGCACGCUCGGACUUUCUUUUACAUAGUGCCAGGGGCGUAGAGCAGGCACGCCUGGACUUCCAUAUCCUAUCAUCAUGUCAUAACAUAUGAGGGCUAAUGGAUCAUUCAACAUUCAUCCACAUCAACAACAUAAUAUGCAAUGCAACAUAUUCGUGAAUUCUAAUGCAAGCACUCUAAUAUAUCCCAUGGCAUUCAUGAUGCGUGAAUUAUGCUAAAACUUUCUUUAUUUGCUUUGAAACAUAAAGAGUUAUUCCACUCACCUCUGGCUAGCUCUGACAAGACACUGAAGCAACUGUCUCACUGCUGGGGUCCUCGGUUCCUCGGGUCCAAACCUACACAGGUGGACUCAAAUGAGGGACCAAACAUUCAUGAACAUGACUCUAAAAUACUCCCCAAAAAUCCCCUAAAACACCUUAAAACAAUCAUAGAAAUCAUGCAAAGGAAGGCUGGGCAGGGCACUUUCGGCGGCAGGUUCGGCGGCCGAAAGUCAUGCACCUUUGGCGACACUUUCGGCGGCCGAAGGUUCUCUCCAGAGACAAAACUCAUGCAUAUUCGGCGGCCGAAAGUCCCUUCCAAAGCCGAAAGUCCUCUUUCGGGGGCAGGGUUCGGCAGCCGAUUCAUGCUACCACAGGCAGGUUCGGCGGCCGAAAGGGCCUUCGGCUGCGGAACCUGGGUCCUCCCAAGUGGCAGAACCCAGCCCUUAUCAUGCACAAAUGCCUCCCAAAACUACACAACUCAACCAAACUACUUCCAAAGCAUGCAUACACAUAUACAUGAGCUCCUAGGGGUUUCAAACUGUCCUGAACCCCAACUACAACACAUCAAACAUGCAUAAACAACCCACAUUGCUCAUAAACACAACAUAAACCAAACACUCAACAUAAACCUAUACAUGCAUUUCUACCCCAAGAAACUUCAUGAAACUCAACUAAAACAUGAAAAGAAGUGUGGAUCUACUCUUACCUCUUGAAGAUCGAGAGGGAAGACGAUCCAACUCGGAGAUGGGAGAGAUCUCGCUCCUUGGGUCUCCAAGUUCCAAAACUUGCUCUUUUGCUCUAAUAUCUUCAAACCAAGAUAAAACUUGUUAAAACUUGAAAGAUUUGAAGGAAAACAUCAAGAAUCAACCAUGGGAGAGCAUGGACUCACCGUUGGCCGAAAAUGGGGAGAAAACUCGCCCGUUUCGGCCAUGGAGCCCUUUUUAUAGGGGCUGCCAGACCACCUUUCGGCAGCCUAAAGUGCCUCCAAAACUAAUGCAAGUUCGGCGGCCAAACCUUGGCCAUUUUCGGAAGCCUAACUUGCCCCUCCAAACCAUCCCAUGUUCGGCGGCCGAACCUGGAAAUGCCUCCAUGGUCUUUUUCAUUCAAAACUCAAUUUCUUUCUUACUUAAAUUCAUAAAAUACAUUAAAACAUUUUAUGAAAAUAUGGUUUUACCCUUCUAGAGGUUUUCGACAUCCGAGAUUCCACCGGACGGUAGGAAUUCCGAUACCGGAGUCCAGCCGGGUAUUACAAUGUUUGAAGAGGGCAUGGGAGAGUCUCAGGGAGGCACUUAGGCCUCGAGAUUUGUCCAGCCAUCCCAGUACCCACCCUUUUCACAGAAUCCCGGGUAUUCGAUGGGAGGUACAUCGGAUUACCCCAGCUUUAACCCUUAUCACUCUCACAUGCCAUACCCACCUUUCUACCCACCAUACCCACAGUACCCUAUGUACCCACCCCCAUCUUUCUACCCAGGUACAGCAAACCCUAACCCAGGGGAUGUUGCACCUCCUCCACCACCAGCAGAACCUACUGUCCCAGAAACCCAAGUACCUAAACCUAGCUCAUCUAGAGGGAGCAAGGUCAAGAUGACCGAUUACAUGAAGCUGGGUGCUCCCCAGUAUGAAACAAGUGAUGACCUGUUUGAGUACCUUGGGAGGGUCAAGAUGAUUACAGAUGAGAUAGAAACUGAUGACAAUAGAGCCAUUCAGAUGGCUGGGUUCACACUGAAGUGCAAGAAGGCCCGAGAGUGGUUCAAAAACUAUGUGAACCCGAGAUUGGAUAGCCUAUCAUGGGAAGAGUUUGCUAAUGAGUUUGCAGGAUGGGCUUUCCUUGACAGUUCAAAGGAGUUAAAGAUGAUCGAAUUUGACCAGUUGAGGCAGACAGAGGAUAUGAGUGUAGAGCAGUUCACAGAUAGGUUCUUAGAGCUGUUGCCGUUUGCAGGGCAGACCCUUGAUACAGAUCAGAAGAAGGCUAGGAGGUAUAUCAUGAAGCUCCAUUCCAGGUAUUCCUCCUUGAUCCAAUCAGCAGGUAGGGAGAGCUUCCAUGCCAUAGUAGAUAUGGCCCAGAAAAUGGAGGCUAGUGCCAUCAUUCAGGGAACAGUUAAGCAGUCAGUGCACAACCCUCUGGUUCCAAGACCCCAGGUGGGGGAAGGUUAGACCCUUCUUCUCUGAAUGCAGCAGCUUCAGGCAGUAAAAAGUGGGGUAAGGCCAAGUCUAAGAAGAACAAGUUCUGGAACAAGAUCAAGUCAGGUCUGGGAUUAGGAAGUGGCUCGAGCUCAGGUGCAGAUAAUGCAGUAUGUGUAAAACCCGGCUAGACUCCGGUAUCGGAAUUCCUACCGUCCGGUGGAAUCUCGGAUGUCGGAAGCCUCUAGUAGGGGUAGAAACAUGUUUUCAUAAAAGGUUUUAAUGUAUUUCAUGGUUUUAAGUAAGAAGGAAAUGGGUUUUUGCAUGAAAACAACCUUGGAGGAAAACUUAGGUUCGGCCGCCGAACAUGCAUGCCUUCGGGAGCGCUUUUAGGCCCCCGAAAGAAUAAGUGAGGGAAGUCCAGGUUUAGCCGCCGAACAUGGCAUGCAUGCGGAGGCACAUUCGGCCCCCGAACGUGGCCUGGCCAGCCACUAUAAAAGGGUCCUUUAGCCGAAAAUGGGCGAGCUUUUCUCCCCAUUGUCGGCCAAGGUGAGCUCUCCGCCGUCCCUCACCAAUCUUUGAGUUCUUCCUUUAGAUCUUUCAAGAUUUUCAUGAGUUUUUGCUUUGUUUUGAAGAUUUUCAAGUUUUGAGCAAGUUUUGGAGCUUUGAGGUUCAAGGAAACUCAACCCCUCCCAUCUCCGAGUUUAGGUCGUCUCUCUCUCUAUCUCCACGAGGUAAGAGCCGAUCUUAAGCUCAUUGCAUGUUUUAAGUAAGUUUUAAGUAGAUCUAUGGGGUAGAAUGCAUGUUUAGCUCAUGGUUAGGUUUAUGGGUUUUAUAUGUGUUUAUGAACAAUGUGAGUUGCUUGAUGUGUUGUAGUUGGGGUUUUUGAUGGUUUGAUGCCCCUAGGAACUUGUAUGCUUGUUUGUGUAUGAUUGGGAAUGUUGUAGAAUAGGUUUAUGCAUGAUUGGAUAGUUUUGGAGGCAAAUGUGCUUAGAAGAGCUGAGUUUCUGCCACUAUGGGAGAAACCAGGUUCGGCAGCCGAAGGAACUUUCGGACGUUGAACAUACUUGUGGAGGCAGCCUUCGGCUGGCAAAGCUCGCCCCCGAAAGAGGACUUUCGUCUCUGUCUGGGAGUUUCAGCCGCCGAAGGUGCCGCCGAACCUGCCUGACUUUCGGCUCUGGAGGGACUUUCGGCCGCCGAACCUGCCGCCGAAAGUGCCCUGUCCAGCCUUCCUUUGCAUGUUUUCCUAUGGUUGUUUCAUGAUGUUUUAGGGGGUUUUUGGGGAGUAGUUUAGAGUUAUGUUCUAGUUGUUUGGUCCCUCAUUUGAGUCCACCUGUGUAGGUUCGGACCCGAGGAACCGAGGACCCCAGCAGUGAGUCAGCUGCCCUAGUGUCUGGUCAGAGCUAUCCAGAGGUGAGUAGAAUAAACCUUUACGUUUUAAAGUAAAUCAAAUUGUAAAGUUUUGAGCAUGUUCAUGCAUCAUGAAUGCCAUGUGAUGAUUUAGGUUGUUUGCAUUAGAAUUCACGAAUAUGUUGCAUUGCAUAUUUUAAUGUUGAUGUGGAUGAAUGUUGGAUGAUCCAUAGCCCUCGAUCUAUGAUGCGACGAUGUGAUAUGUACGGUACGGAAUGUAAGACCAGUGGGACCCAUUCUACGUUCGCUGGCACUAUGUAAGAGAAAGACCAGGACCCAUUCUACGUUCUGGCACAGUUGGACUAUGUAGAGGGCUAUUGGUGACAAGUUCAUCCUUGAUGUGAUUAGCUGUGAUGUGAUGCAUGCCAUGUUAUCAUGUGUUUUGAAUGUUUUAUUAUUCUGCUCACUGGGCUCUAGUAGCUCACCCCUCUCCCAAAUUCCCCAGGUUUGCAGGUACAGGGUAGACCAGGAGGUCCGCAAGAGUAAUGAAGUCAUGUGUAUGUAAUAGAUAGUGUGGACAUGAUGAAUGUAUUAAUGUUAUGUAAAAAGUACAGUUUUAGUCAUGUAAUGAUAUUGAGGAUUAGAGAUUGCGCUUGACUAUAUGUAUAAGAUAUCCCUUUUAAUACAUGAUCUUAAAUGUUUUAUGAUGAUUAUGCAAACCAACUCAACUUAUGAUGUAUCGCCCAUUGGGGCAUUGAUGAGAUCCCACAGAGGGGUCAUGAGUAUGAUUAUGAUUAUGUACAGUGCAUGCACAGGUUGAGUUUGGUGUAUGAAUGAAAGAAAAGUUUUAAUUUUUAAGUAUGUUGUUGAUCAUGUAUGGGAUUAAGCAGGUUUACAGGAUGUAUGUCAGGCUUGCUACGGGUCCCGGAGGCCUUAAGCCGACCUGGAUCCUAGCGCCGGUAGCGGUUCGAUUUUUAGGUCGUUACAGUAUGCAUGAAGUGUGGGAAGCCGCACAAGGGAGUAUGUCGGUUUGGGACGACAGCCAGCUUUAGAUGUGGGCAGGAGGGACACAUGGCAUGGGAGUGUCCUAGAGCAGCUUUUGUGGCACAGUCCCAGCAGACAGCUUCGGGUAGUGUGGCUCAGCCAGCAGCUCCAACCGCGAUUCAGGCCAGUGGCAGAGGCAGAGGGAGAGGGUCAGCCUCUUCUUCAGCGAGUUUCAGGGGUGAAGGUCCAUCAGCUCCAGCAUGGAUCUUCACGAUGACUCAACAGGAGGCAAAUGCAUCAAACACCGUAGUGUCAGGUAAUCUCAUCAUUGGUUGUUCAGAUGUUUAUGCCUUAAUGGACCCUGGUGCAUCUCAUUCUUUCAUUGCUCCGAGAGCCGUCGAGAGGUUGGGUAAGAUGGUCUCUGGGUUAGAGUGUCCCCUAUGGGUCAGUGGACCCAAGUGUGACUCAUCAGUGGCAGAGUCAGUCUGCCAGUGUAGUCCAGUUUUUGUUGAGGGGAGAUGCCUUUCAGCGGACCUUGUGGUUCUAGAUUUGACAGAUUUUGACGUCAUUCUAGGGAUGGAUUGGCUAUCCACCCAUGGUGCUACCUUGGACUGUAGAGACAAGGUAGUCAGGUUCAGAGGUCAGGAUGGGUCAGAGGUUGUCUUCAGAGGAGACAGGAGGGGUACACCUAGAGGUUUGAUAUCAGCCCUACAGGCUCGUAGGCUGCUCAGGAGGGGUUGUCAAGAUUUUCUAGCUCAUGUGAGAGAGCUAGAUAGUCAUGUCAGAGAGCCCGCCUCAGUGCCCGUGGUCAGAGAGUUUUUAGACGUCUUCCCAGACGAGCUGCCAGGUUUACCACCUACUAGGGAUAUAGAGUUCGAAAUAGAGUUAAUGCCUGGAACCAAACCGAUCUCUAUCCCUCCCUACAGGAUGGCACCAGCUGAAUUGAAGGAGCUUAAAGAGCAGUUGCAAGAGUUGGUAGAUAAGGGCUUCAUCCGACCGAGUACCUCACCUUGGGGUGCUCCAGUGUUGUUUGUGAGAAAGAAGGAUGG
RNAcentral lists this long non-coding RNA (12662 nucleotides) under Manihot esculenta (cassava). RNAcentral's name for it is "long non-coding RNA (MESC_LNC010038)". Lineage: Eukaryota; Viridiplantae; Streptophyta; Magnoliopsida; Malpighiales; Euphorbiaceae. The record is from RNAcentral.